GAUAGGAUUGUUCCUGUUGAUAUUUAUGUACCUGGUUGUCCUCCCACUGCUGAGGCAUUGCUCUAUGGUAUUUUGCAGCUUCAGAAGAAAAUUCACCGCAGAAAAGAUUUUCUUCAUUGGUGGACCAGUUAAUAUGAUCAUGAUCCUUCAAAUUAUAGUGUAUGUGGUACUUAUCUUUCAUAUAUAUAUAUAUAUGUGUGUGUGUGUUAUGCUUCUUGUGUGUACUCAAGAUGCAUGCCAAUAAAAUGGAAGCUGGAACGUCAAGUGGAUGGAGUUUACCUUUGUAGUGUCGGGCUAAAAAAAGGAGAUAGCAUAAUGCUGGUCCGACUUGUAUAUCGUAUUUGGUUGAAGAAGCAUCGGACAAGUUGGAGUUCUUACUUUCUUGGGACUCCACGAUCAAGAUCUGUUUUUUUAUUAUAUGGUCAUAUC
This 429-nucleotide long non-coding RNA is filed under the name Capsicum annuum. RNAcentral describes it as "long non-coding RNA (CANN_LNC003902)". The record is from RNAcentral. Lineage: Eukaryota; Viridiplantae; Streptophyta; Magnoliopsida; Solanales; Solanaceae.